UGGGAACGCGAAGAACCUUACCAGGGCUUGACAUCCUACUAAAGAAGCAGAGAUGCAUUAAGUGCCCUUCGGGGAAAGUAGAGACAGGUGGUGCAUGGUUGUCGUCAGCUCGUGUCGUGAGAUGUUGGGUUAAGUCCCGCAACGGGCGCAACCCCUAUUGUUAGUUGCUACGCAAGAGCACUCUAGCGAGACUGCCGUUGACAAAACGGAGGAAGGUGGGGACGACGUCAAAUCAUCAUGCCCCUUAUGUCCUGGGCCACACACGUAAUACAAUGGCGUUAAACAGAGGGAUGCUAAGCCGUGAGGUGGAGCGAACCCCUAAAAGCCGUCUCAGUUCGGAUUGCAGGCUGCAACUCGCCUGCAUGAAGUCGGAAUCGCUAGUAAUUGCGAAUCAGCACGUCGCAGUGAAUGCGUUCCCGGGUCUUGUACACACCG
RNAcentral lists this ribosomal RNA (435 nucleotides) under uncultured bacterium. RNAcentral describes it as "bacterial SSU rRNA". It matches the Rfam family "Bacterial small subunit ribosomal RNA", at positions 954 to 1392 of the family's 1533-position model. The record is from RNAcentral.